RNAcentral lists this ribosomal RNA (403 nucleotides) under bacterium. RNAcentral describes it as "partial 16S ribosomal RNA". It matches the Rfam family "Bacterial small subunit ribosomal RNA", at positions 355 to 776 of the family's 1533-position model. The record is from RNAcentral.
UGGGGAAUAUUGCACAAUGGGGGAAACCCUGAUGCAGCGACGCCGCGUGAACGAAGAAGGUAUUCAUAUCGUAAAGUUCUGUCCUAUGGGAAGAUAAUGACAGUACCAUAGAAGAAAGCUCCGGCUAAAUACGUGCCAGCAGCCGCGGUAAUACGUAUGGAGCGAGCGUUGUCCGGAAUUAUUGGGCGUAAAGGGUACGCAGGCGGUUUAAUAAGUCGAAUGUUAAAGAUCGGGGCUCAACCCCGCAAAGCAUUGGAAACUGAUAAACUUGAGUAGUGGAGAGGAAAGUGGAAUUCCUAGUGUAGUGGUGAAAUACGUAGAUAUUAGGAGGAAUACCAGUAGCUAAGGCGACUUUCUGGACACAAACUGACGCUGAGGUACGAAAGCGUGGGGAGCAAACAGG